This 855-nucleotide ribosomal RNA is filed under the name uncultured archaeon. Its description in RNAcentral is "bacterial SSU rRNA". It matches the Rfam family "Archaeal small subunit ribosomal RNA", at positions 83 to 922 of the family's 1478-position model. The record is from RNAcentral.
UUACGGCUCAGUAACACGUAGCUAACCUACCCUCAGGACGGGUAAAACCUCGGGAAACUGAGGUUAAUACCCGAUAGGUAUGGAAUCCUGGAAUGGUGCCAUGCCUAAAAGUAAUCGCAUCCAUGUUUGCGUGCACGCCUGAGGAUGGGGCUGCGGCCGAUCAGGCAGUUGGUGAGGUAACGGCUCACCAAACCUUUGACCGGUACGGGCCAUGAGAGUGGUAGCCCGGAGAUGGGCACUGAGACAAGGGCCCAGGCCCUACGGGGCGCAGCCGGUACGAAACCUCCACAAUUCACGAAAGUGAGAUGGGGUUACCUCGAGUGCCGUCUGAAGAAGGCGGCUUUUCCAUUGUGUAAUGAGCCGUGGGAAUAAGGGGGGGGCAAGACUGGUGUCAGCCGCCGCGGUAACACCAGCCCCCCGAGUGGUGGGGAUGAUUAUUUGGCCUAAAGCGUCCGUAGCCGGCCCGGUAAAUCCCUCGUUAAAUCCAGCGUCCUAAGCGUUGGGCUGCGAGAGAGACUGCCGGACUAGAGGGUGGGAGAGGUCAGCGGUAUUCCUGGGGUAGGGGCGAAAUCCAUUGAUCCCAGGAGGACCACCAGUGGCGAAGGCUGCUGACUAGAACACGCCUGACGGUGAGGGACGAAAGCUGGGGUAGCGAAUCGGAUUAGAUACCCGAGUAGUCCCAGCCGUAAACGAUGCAGGCUAGGUGUUGGGUUGGCCACGCGCCAGCUCAGUGCCACAGGGAAGCCAUUAAGCCUGCCGCCUGGGGAGUACGGCCGCAAGGCUGAAACUUAAAGGAAUUGGCGGGGGAGCACCACCAGGCGUGAAGCCUGCGGUUUAAUUGGAGUCAACGCCGGA